CGCCAACACUGGGACUGAGAACUGCCCAGACUCCUACGGGAGGCUGCAGUCGAGAAUCAUUCGCAAUGGGCGAAAGCCUGACGAUGCGACGCCGUGUGUAUGAUGAAGGCCUUAGGGUCGUAAAGUACUUUCGCCUGGGAACAAGACAAUUUGACUAACAAUCAAAGAGUUUGAGGGUAUCAGGUAAAGAAGCACCGGCUAACUCCA
Molecule: ribosomal RNA, 207 nt
Filed under: uncultured Chlamydiales bacterium
Lineage: Bacteria; Pseudomonadati; Chlamydiota; Chlamydiia; Chlamydiales
Description: partial 16S ribosomal RNA
Rfam family: Bacterial small subunit ribosomal RNA
Source: RNAcentral